RNAcentral lists this ribosomal RNA (491 nucleotides) under uncultured bacterium. Its description in RNAcentral is "partial 16S ribosomal RNA". It matches the Rfam family "Bacterial small subunit ribosomal RNA", at positions 29 to 506 of the family's 1533-position model. The record is from RNAcentral.
AGUGAACGCUGGCGGUAGGCCUAACACAUGCAAGUCGAACGGCAGCACAGUAAGAGCUUGCUCUUACGGGUGGCGAGUGGCGGACGGGUGAGGAAUACAUCGGAAUCUACUUUUUCGUGGGGGAUAACGUAGGGAAACUUACGCUAAUACCGCAUACGACCUACGGGUGAAAGCAGGGGAUCUUCGGACCUUGCGCGAUUGAAUGAGCCGAGGUCGGAUUAGCUAGUUGGCGGGGUAAAGGCCCACCAAGGCGACGAUCCGUAGCUGGUCUGAGAGGAUGAUCAGCCACACUGGAACUGAGACACGGUCCAGACUCCUACGGAAGGCAGCAGUGGGGAAUAUUGGACAAUGGGCGCAAGCCUGAUCCAGCCAUACCGGGUGGGUGAAGAAGGCCUUCGGGUUGUAAAGCCCUUUUGUUGGGAAAGAAAAGCAGCAGGUUAAUACCCCGCUGUUCUGACGGUACCCAAAGAAUAAGCACCGGCUAACUUCGU